This 253-nucleotide ribosomal RNA is filed under the name uncultured bacterium. Its description in RNAcentral is "partial 16S ribosomal RNA". It matches the Rfam family "Bacterial small subunit ribosomal RNA", at positions 524 to 776 of the family's 1533-position model. The record is from RNAcentral.
UACGGAGGGUGCAAGCGUUGCUCGGAAUUAUUGGGCGUAAAGGGUAGGUAGGUGGUCUCAUUUGUCUGGGGUGAAAGCCUUGAGCUUAACUCGAGAAGUGCCCCAGAAACGGUGAGACUGGAGUCCUGGAGAGGGUCGUGGAAUUCCCGGUGUAGCGGUGAAAUGCGUAGAGAUCGGGAGGAACACCAGAGGCGAAAGCGGCGACCUGGACAGGCACUGACACUCAACUACGAAAGCGUGGGGAGCAAACAGG